UUGGAGGGCAAGUCUGGUGCCAGCAGCCGCGGUAAUUCCAGCUCCAAUAGCGUAUAUUAAAGUUGUUGCAGUUAAAAAGCUCGUAGUUGAACUUCGGGAUCAAUGAGUUGGUCGUGCCCUUGGUAUGAACUGGCUUUAUUGGUUCUCACCUUCUAAUGAACCAUAAUGUCAUUCAUUUGAUGUUUUGGGGAAUUAGGACUGUUACCUUGAAAAAAUUAGAGUGUUUAAAGCAGGCUCACGCUUGAAUACAUUAGCAUGGAAUAAUGAAAUAGGACAUCGCAUUCUAUUUUGUUGGUUUCUAGGAUCGAUGUAAUGAUUAAUAGGGGAUAGUUGGGGGCAUUAGUAUUCAAUUGUCAGAGGUGAAAUUCUUGGAUUUAUUGAAGACUAACUACUGCGAAAGCAUUUGCCAAGGAUGUUUUCAUUA
This 424-nucleotide ribosomal RNA is filed under the name Rhizophagus sp. (in: glomeromycetes). RNAcentral's name for it is "SSU rRNA". It matches the Rfam family "Eukaryotic small subunit ribosomal RNA", at positions 548 to 975 of the family's 1831-position model. Lineage: Eukaryota; Fungi; Glomeromycota; Glomeromycetes; Glomerales; Glomeraceae. The record is from RNAcentral.